AAAUGCAAAAUUUGGCUGAUGGAUCUGGUCCACCGGGUGUUGACACAUCUUCGAGUGAAACAUCUUUACUCAUCCACAGCAGAAGCAGGUAGAUCAAAUAGAUGUUGUAUUGAAACAAUUUGAAACUCUAUAACAAUAUUAAUGGAUAAUUAGAAAACAAAGUGGAAGAAGAAGAAAUAUAAACAAAAAGAAAGAGAAACAAAAAAAAAUGUCGAGAAAGAAAAAAGGUAAGUGAGUAUUUAAAGAAGAUGAACAUAUUUAAAGAAGGUGGAGUUGGCACUUAAUUAGGUUUGCCAGAAUGCUUUAGUGAUUCAAAGGAGGAUCUCCUAAACUACAUUAAAGACCGUCUCAAAUCUAAACUCUCAGGCUGG
Molecule: long non-coding RNA, 371 nt
Filed under: Capsella rubella
Lineage: Eukaryota; Viridiplantae; Streptophyta; Magnoliopsida; Brassicales; Brassicaceae
Description: long non-coding RNA (CRUB_LNC002261)
Source: RNAcentral